This 257-nucleotide small RNA is filed under the name Histoplasma capsulatum. RNAcentral's name for it is "hypothetical RNA". Lineage: Eukaryota; Fungi; Ascomycota; Eurotiomycetes; Onygenales; Ajellomycetaceae. The record is from RNAcentral. RNAcentral also lists the same sequence under 1 other name.
ACAAUAUGGUUGGAGGUGAGUCAGAUUCCCGACAAUUCAGUAACUUCCAACGGACAGAAUACCCCAGUUCCACAAAGGAAUGUAUUGUUGCGAAAAGGAAUUCUUCAUGCCUCUGUUGCAAACCUGCUGUUUCCUCCAUAGUCACAACCCUGGGCUUCGUCGCCUCCAGUAAUUCGCGCGUGCAGAAGAUACAUGCUUCAUUAUCUUCAUCCAUGGCAGCUGCAACUGUUUUUGCAGGUGAAAAUGUCUGGCAAGGA